GAUGAACGCUGGCGGCGUGCCUAAUACAUGCAAGUCGAGCGAACAGACGAGGAGCUUGCUCCUCUGACGUUAGCGGCGGACGGGUGAGUAACACGUGGAUAACCUACCUAUAAGACUGGGAUAACUUCGGGAAACCGGAGCUAAUACCGGAUAAUAUAUUGAACCGCAUGGUUCAAUAGUGAAAGACGGUUUUGCUGUCACUUAUAGAUGGAUCCGCGCCGCAUUAGCUAGUUGGUAAGGUAACGGCUUACCAAGGCAACGAUGCGUAGCCGACCUGAGAGGGUGAUCGGCCACACUGGAACUGAGCCACGGUCCAGACUCCUACGGGAGGCAGCAGUAGGGAAUCUUCCGCAAUGGGCGAAAGCCUGACGGAGCAACGCCGCGUGAGUGAUGAAGGUCUUCGGAUCGUAAAACUCUGUUAUUAGGGAAGAACAAAUGUGUAAGUAACUAUGCACGUCUUGACGGUACCUAAUCAGAAAGCCACGGCUAACUACGU
RNAcentral lists this ribosomal RNA (496 nucleotides) under uncultured bacterium. RNAcentral's name for it is "partial 16S ribosomal RNA". It matches the Rfam family "Bacterial small subunit ribosomal RNA", at positions 28 to 506 of the family's 1533-position model. The record is from RNAcentral.